Molecule: ribosomal RNA, 253 nt
Filed under: uncultured bacterium
Lineage: Bacteria
Description: partial 16S ribosomal RNA
Rfam family: Bacterial small subunit ribosomal RNA
Source: RNAcentral
UACGGAGGAUCCAAGCGUUAUCCGGAUUUAUUGGGUUUAAAGGGAGCGUAGGCGGCCCAUUAAGUCAGAGGUGAAAGACGGUAGCUCAACUAUCGCAGUGCCUUUGAUACUGAUGGGCUUGAAUACAGAUGAGGUAGGCGGAAUGUGACAAGUAGCGGUGAAAUGCAUAGAUAUGUCACAGAACACCGAUUGCGAAGGCAGCUUACUAAACUGUGAUUGACGCUGAGGCUCGAAAGCGUGGGGAUCAAACAGG